Molecule: ribosomal RNA, 440 nt
Filed under: uncultured bacterium
Lineage: Bacteria
Description: partial 16S ribosomal RNA
Rfam family: Bacterial small subunit ribosomal RNA
Source: RNAcentral
CCUACGGGUGGCUGCAGUGGGGAAUAUUGCACAAUGGAGGGAACUCUGAUGCAGCGACGCCGCGUGAGUGAAGAAGUAAUUCGUUAUGUAAAGCUCUAUCAGCAGGGAAGAAAGUGACGGUACCUGAAAAAGAAGCUCCGGCUAAAUACGUGCCAGCAGCCGCGGUAAUACGUAUGGAGCAAGCGUUAUCCGGAUUUACUGGGUGUAAAGGGAGAGGAGGUGGCAGAGCAAGUCCGAAGUGAAAACCCAAAGCUCAACUAUGGGAAUGCUUUAGAAACUGCUCAGCUAGAGUGCAGGAGAGGCAAGUGGAAUUCGUGGUGUAGCGGUGAAAUGCUUAGAUAUCACGAAGAACCCCGAUUGCGAAGGCAGCUUACUAAACUGUGACUGACAUUGAUGCUCGAAAGUGUGGGUAUCAAACAGGAUUAGAUACCCGUGUAGUC